RNAcentral lists this transfer RNA (73 nucleotides) under Stegodyphus mimosarum. It matches the Rfam family "tRNA". Rfam says of the family: Transfer RNA (tRNA) molecules are approximately 80 nucleotides in length. Lineage: Eukaryota; Metazoa; Arthropoda; Arachnida; Araneae; Eresidae. The record is from Rfam by way of RNAcentral.
CCCUUCAUGGUGUAAAUGGAAGCACACUAGAUUCGUAUUCGAGAUUUUCUGGGUUUGAGUCCCAGCAAGGGCA